Impatiens glandulifera is the source of this 93-nucleotide small nucleolar RNA. RefSeq annotates it as small nucleolar RNA SNORD96 family. The transcript has a single exon. NCBI's taxonomy places the organism in Eukaryota, Viridiplantae, Streptophyta, Magnoliopsida, Ericales, Balsaminaceae. The record is from RefSeq and is a predicted model, not a curated record.
UUGUCCGUGAGGAGAUAAUUUAAAAUAAAACCAUCUUUCGGGACUGAAUGAACUAUUGGUCUUGAUUUUAUCAAUUCUGCAAUUUUAAGACCU